GACGAACGCUGGCGGCGUGCCUAAUACAUGCAAGUCGAACGAAGCUGUUUUAACUGGUGCUUGCACCGACUUAAACAACUGAGUGGCGAACGGGUGAGUAACACGUGGGUAACCUGCCCCAAAGCGGGGGAUAACAUUUGGAAACAGAUGCUAAUACCGCAUAACCACAGAAACCACAUGGUUUCUGUGUCAAAGAUGGUUUCGGCUAUCACUUUGGGAUGGACCCGCGGCGUAUUAGCUAGUUGGUAAGGUAAUGGCUUACCAAGGCAAUGAUACGUAGCCGAACUGAGAGGUUGAUCGGCCACAUUGGGACUGAGACACGGCCCAAACUCCUACGGGAGGCAGCAGUAGGGAAUCUUCCACAAUGGACGAAAGUCUGAUGGAGCAACGCCGCGUGAGUGAAGAAGGUUUUCGGAUCGUAAAACUCUGUUGUCAGAGAAGAACGUGUGCGAGAGUAACUGCUCGUGCAGUGACGGUAUCUGGCCAGAAAGCCACGGCUAACUACGUGCCAGCCGCCGCCGUAA
RNAcentral lists this ribosomal RNA (524 nucleotides) under uncultured bacterium. RNAcentral describes it as "partial 16S ribosomal RNA". It matches the Rfam family "Bacterial small subunit ribosomal RNA", at positions 28 to 523 of the family's 1533-position model. The record is from RNAcentral.